Molecule: long non-coding RNA, 552 nt
Filed under: Elaeis guineensis (African oil palm)
Lineage: Eukaryota; Viridiplantae; Streptophyta; Magnoliopsida; Arecales; Arecaceae
Description: long non-coding RNA (EGUI_LNC049696)
Source: RNAcentral
AAUCUCUAUCUAAGAUAACACCGAGCUUCUCAAGCUCCUCAAGGUCCUUGAUUAUUGACAAACAAUGAUCUUGGACUGACUGCCCAUCACACAUUUUAGUCUUAAAAAGUCUUUGAAAAACUUGAUACUUGGCUGCGUGACUUUGUUCACCAAACAACUCUUGUAGGUGAGCCAACAUUUGGUGGGUAGUCAUAAUGUUCUCAUACUGAUGUUGCAAGUCAUCAGACAUAGCAUCCAACAUGUAGUACCUGACUUUGUUAUCGUCAUCCAUCCACUUUUCUAGAGAUGCUCUCUAUUCAACAGUCGGACGUGCUGGUAUGGCAGGUGGGUCCUGGUCCAAGACAUGAGUCAGUUUCUCGAAAUCUAGAAUAAUUCUGUAGUUCCUCAACUAGUCCUUGAAAUUAGAUCCAGUCAAUCUAUGGGUGUCUAGUAUUUUGGUCAGAGGGUUGGACGCAGACAUAUUUUCUAUAGAGAGUCAAAAAUUUUUAGUUAGAUUUUGUAAUCAGACUUAACCAAUUUGUUUAGAGGUUUCAUUUUUAAACAAAUUAGGCU